CCUACGGGUGGCUGCAGUGGGGAAUUUUGGACAAUGGGGGCAACCCUGAUCCAGCAAUGCCGCGUGAGUGAAGAAGGCCUUCGGGUUGUAAAGCUCUUUUGUCAGGGAAGAAAAGGUCGUGGCUAAUAUCCACGACUGCUGACGGUACCUGAAGAAUAAGCACCGGCUAACUACGUGCCAGCAGCCGCGGUAAUACGUAGGGUGCAAGCGUUAAUCGGAAUUACUGGGCGUAAAGCGUGCGCAGGCGGUUUCGUAAGUCUGUCGUGAAAUCCCCG
RNAcentral lists this ribosomal RNA (275 nucleotides) under uncultured Duganella sp. RNAcentral's name for it is "partial 16S ribosomal RNA". It matches the Rfam family "Bacterial small subunit ribosomal RNA", at positions 338 to 605 of the family's 1533-position model. The record is from RNAcentral. Lineage: Bacteria; Pseudomonadati; Pseudomonadota; Betaproteobacteria; Burkholderiales; Oxalobacteraceae.